UACGGAGGGUGCAAACGUUGCUCGGAAUCAUUGGGCGUAAAGCGCACGUAGGCGGACUGUUAAGUCGGAUGUGAAAUCCCUCAGCUUAACUGAGGAAGUGCACUCGAAACUGGCAGUCUUGAGUAUGGAAGAGGGUCGCGGAAUUCCCGGUGUAGAGGUGAAAUUCGUAGAUAUCGGGAGGAACACCAGUGGCGAAGGCGCUCUGCUAGGCCGCAACUGACACUGAGGGACGAAAGCUAGGGGAGCGAAUGGG
RNAcentral lists this ribosomal RNA (253 nucleotides) under uncultured bacterium. RNAcentral's name for it is "partial 16S ribosomal RNA". It matches the Rfam family "Bacterial small subunit ribosomal RNA", at positions 524 to 776 of the family's 1533-position model. The record is from RNAcentral.